RNAcentral lists this ribosomal RNA (497 nucleotides) under uncultured bacterium. Its description in RNAcentral is "partial 16S ribosomal RNA". It matches the Rfam family "Bacterial small subunit ribosomal RNA", at positions 28 to 507 of the family's 1533-position model. The record is from RNAcentral.
GAUGAACGCUGGCGGCGUGCCUAAUACAUGCAAGUCGAGCGAACGGACGAGAAGCUUGCUUCUCUGAUGUUAGCGGCGGACGGGUGAGUAACACGUGGAUAACCUACCUAUAAGACUGGGAUAACUUCGGGAAACCGGAGCUAAUACCGGAUGAUAUUUUGAACCGCAUGGUUCAAAAGUGAAAGACGGUCUUGCUGUCACUUAUAGAUGGAUCCGCGCUGCAUUAGCUAGUUGGUAAGGUAACGGCUUACCAAGGCAACGAUGCAUAGCCGACCUGAGAGGGUGAUAGGCCACACUGGAACUGAGACACGGUCCAGACUCCUACGGGAGGCAGCAGUAGGGAAUCUUCCGCAAUGGGCGGAAGCCUGACGGAGCAACGCCGCGUGAGUGAUGAAGGUCUUCGGAUCGUAAAACUCUGUUAUUAGGGAAGAACAUAUGUGUAAGUAACUGUGCACAUCUUGACGGUACCUAAUCAGAAAGCCACGGCUAACUACGUG